This is a long non-coding RNA of Brassica napus (rape), 3281 nucleotides long. RefSeq lists it as uncharacterized. NCBI's taxonomy places the organism in Eukaryota, Viridiplantae, Streptophyta, Magnoliopsida, Brassicales, Brassicaceae. The record is from RefSeq and is a predicted model, not a curated record. The transcript has 2 exons.
CUAAAAAUAUUUUAUAUAUAUAAAUAAAAUGAUCAAAUAUAUAAAAGAAACUAUCGAUAAUAUAUACAAAUAAAUUCAUCGUUGCGCAGGUCUCAGUAUAUGUGUAUUACAUUUGUAGAUACAAAACGUUAUUAUUGUUUAGGUUAAUGGUCUGCCUUAGUCCAUUUGGACUUUCGAAAAUGUGGUUCGGCCCAAGAAUGGUCAUAUUUUAUAGUUUAUUUAUUUAUUUUGUUUUGUGAAUUACAAAAAGACACGAUUUGCUCAUCUGCUUCCUUCUUUAAUCGGUUCUGCAACCAAACGUUUGCAUCCAUGGUUCUCACUUUCUUCUUUCUUUUGUUUUCACUUGUUUUUAAUGAUUUGUAUACUAUAAUUAUAUCAUAUCUACAAAUAUAAACAAUUUUCAGAGAAUUUUUAGCUUUCCGAAAACAACAUUACGCGGCGGCUACGUAACCGUAUACCACGUUCUCGCGGUUAAAACACGGGUUAGCGUAGAAUCCAUCCGAACUGGCCAAACUCACCAUAGUGACUGCACGAUUUAUUAUUUUGCGGACGAUUACUCGGCAACUCGGCCGCUUUUUAGUACAAGGCCCACAUCUAAUGGGUCUUCUUCCACGCCCACUCAUUCCGCAUUGAGGCGUGCUUUAACUUUUUAGAGAUUCUAAAUUCUUGUUUAGUGUUCAUACAAUCACCACAUGACAUUUCUUUUUCUUUUGAUUUCACUCGCACGAUAUCGCGAAUCACUUCUCUUCUCGAUAGAUCAUUCGUCUUUUCACUACUACAAUUCAAACACGUUUUACUCUGGAAUUCUUUCUGAAUGUAUAAUAUUAAAAGUAAGUGCAUUUUAGAUAUAUAAAUAGCCAAAUCAAUUCUUUUAAUUUUGUCCAUGUACUAUAAACCGAGAUAUUACAAAAUCUUUCAAAAAAAUGUUUUAAGUAUAUAGAAGGGAUAUGCUAUAUCUAGGUACUGUACAACCUUCAAUUAUAAGUAAAAGAUUAAAAACAGGCUACCUAUUUUUUCCAAAACAAUGGUUUCUAUAGAGCGAAGCUUCUUCAAACCACAAACAUUGAUGUGAAUACUCGUUGGCAUAGUUCAGUUAUAUUGUUUAGACCUGGACUUUAACGUCUUUAUCUUGCUGGUAUCUUAACAUAGCAGAAAAUGUCCCCAUUUUUAAGCCAUCCAGAUAGUGCAAUAGCUUUUUUUUGGAACACAAUUUUCAUUAAAUACUUAAACAUCUGAACUACAAUUAGAAAUAGAGUUUUUCAAAACUUUACAAAGAUAAUACAAUAAAAUAUAAGAGAUAGCAAAUACUCUAAGACAGAAUGAUAGCGAAUUUAGAACAAGUCUCGAAUGUGUUAGAGUAAAGGUCACAACACCACCAAAAUUUUUAGAAAUAGUCACUAUAAAAUGUGAUUUUGACACCCAAUCCGCACUUCGAAAUAUCUUUAUGCUGACUUUCGUUUCAUUUUCAGGCAUAAGACAAUAAAACAUAAGAGAUAACAAAUAGUCGAAGAUAGAAUGACAGCGGAUUUAGAACAAGUCUCGAAUGUGUCAGAGUAAAAGUCACAGUACUACCGGAAUAUUUUGAAAUAGUCACUCUAAAAUGUGAUGUUGACACCCAAUCCACACCUCGAAAGAUCGUCAUGAUGACUUCCGUUGCAUUUUCGGGCCCCAAACAGACUGUUACACCAAAUAGCAUAACGGUUCUAGAAAUAGGAAAAUACCUAUGUUAACAAUUUGAGAGAAAGGACUCCUCAUGGAAGAGGCAAGGGGUGAUAUGUUUGCUCCUCAGAAAAGAAGCAUGAUGAUGAGCCCCGUGAAUCCACCAGUAAAUGGGGGAAUGGCAUACUCUUCAAGCAAGAGAGGUAAAGUCUUGUGUGUACAAUAAUCCUUAGAAAAUUAGCCAAAAAAGCAUUUCUUCCACAAGUAAAUGGACUGUGAAAACUAUUGGAUUAAGAUUAUGACAUUUGAACUCUAAUGGGCUUACCAAGCCCAUGUUCAUAUUUGCAGGCCCAACUUUGUGGAUCUCAAGGAAAGAUCAUGCUAGUGAAGUAAAUCAACGGAGUGAAACGGCGGCGUGUACACAGAUGGGAUAAGUCCAGUGGAGUGGGGGGGGGGGGGCUCUGGUUUGGAGAUAGAGCAUGGCGGAGGGGACUGUCUGAAGCUAUCACUAUUCCGGUGAGGGAAAGGAAGCUGCAGCGAGAGACCAAAGGCUUAUGGUGGAUAUAUUGGAGGAUCUAACUGGUGAGACACAGACCAACAGUGUAUACUCCAACAAGGAGUGGAUAGUCGCCGAUUGGGGGUCAGCGGAGUGGUUAAACAUCUUUGGUAGGGUACAACGGUUGUAGGUGGUGAGAUAUGAAACAGAAAGGGGAACACCCCCCAAUUUUUUUUGGUUCUGGGGAAACCGAAACCGUAGAUUAUGACAAUGAAUCUCCGAGGAGAGUUGCAUGCGUGAAUAAAAGCCUCGAAAAAAAACCGAUGAUAAAAACAGAGAAACUCAAGACAGAGAUAAAAACGCAGCGAAACUAGACAAGAGAGUAAGCGAGAUGAACAAAGGCUUGAGGCUGGCGGCCAGAGGCACCGCCGACCCCAAGAAACGGCAAGGGUGGUGGAGUCUUGAUUUUCGAGUCUGAGAGAGAAUUAGAACAAAGUUUAGAAAACCAGAUAGUACAAUAGUUAUUUAAUUGAUUUAUGUCUGCAAAGUAGUUGAUAAAAGUUAGAUUUGUAGUCAAAUUUUUAUUUUAAGUAACUAUUGGUUAUAAAAUUUAUUUGGGAAAAUUGUAUUUUUAGGUAAAGAAAGCACAAACAUUAUAAUCCAACAUAUAAUUGUCCCAAUAGGCUAAUGAUAUACAAAAUCCCAAUAAUGUCCAUGAAAAUACAAUUAACAAACUAAUUAUGAAAAUAUUAAAAUAAUAUAUAAAAUAAUUAAACUACAUUCAACAUUGACAUAAGUUGUAAACUCGGUUGUGAUAGGUGUGCGUGGCCUGAAACUGAUAACACCUGGGAGCUUCUAGAGAAUCUGCAGUCUAUUUCUGCUUCUAUAGAUGCAUUUGAAAAAUCUUAAGGCCAGGGAAGGCUGUUAAGAAGCGGAAGGGCCAGUAUGGAGGUUGUAAUUCUCAGUUGAAUAAGAAGAAGAAUCAGCAAGGGUUAGCAUCUACAUCAGAUGAUGCUUCGGAGAAAACCGAUCCGACACUCAACGAGUUAUGAGGACCAGUCAUUGGUUCUGAGGGUGAUAGUGCAAGAACAAAUGGCCUUCUAAAGGUUAAGCGUAAGAAGAUUCA